UCGGAUCUCGUUCUGGAUGACUGGGCGUAAGGGUCCGCAGGUGGAUUGUGUGUCUGCUGUGAAAGAAUGAGGCUCAACCUCAUCAAGGCAGUGGAAACUGGAAGCUAGAGUUCUGUCGGGGUAGAAGGAAUUCCUGGUGUAGCGGUGAAAUGCGUAGAGAUCAGGAAGAACACCGGUGGCGAAAGCGUUCUGCUAGACCUGUACUGACACUGAAGGACCAAAGCUAUGGGAACGAAUGGGAUUAGAUACCCCAGUAAUCCUAGCCCUAAACGAUGGAUACUAAGCGUGGCUUGUAUCUACCCGAGCCGUGCCGGAGCUAACGCGUUAAGUAUCCCGCCUGGGGAGUACGCACGCAAAUGUGAAACUCAAAGGAAUUGACGGGGGCCCGCACAAGCGGUGGAGUAUGUGGUUUUUUCAAUGCAACGCAAAACCUUACCCUACUUGACAUGUCGCGAAUCUCCUUGAAAAGGGAGAGUGCCUUUGGAGCGCGAACACAAGUGGUGCAUGGCUGUCGUCAGCUCUGUCGUGAGAUGUUGGGUUAAGUCCCGCACGAGCGCACCCUCUUUUUAGUUGUCAGCAUUAAUUGUGCACUCUCAGAGACUGCCGGUGACAACCGCAGGAGGAGGGGAUGACGUCAGUCAGCAUGCCCUUACUCUGGGCUACCACUACUACAUGCUAGGACUGAGGUAGCUAACAGCAUGUAAGCAAUCCCGUAACCGAGCUCAUUCUAUCGAUAGCUGCACUACCCUGCUGAUGAGAUCGUAGUAUAGCAGUCAGCAUACUGCAUGGAUCAUCCCGCCGUGUAC
Molecule: ribosomal RNA, 806 nt
Filed under: Nostoc sp. 1h
Lineage: Bacteria; Bacillati; Cyanobacteriota; Cyanophyceae; Nostocales; Nostocaceae
Description: bacterial SSU rRNA
Rfam family: Bacterial small subunit ribosomal RNA
Source: RNAcentral